CAGUAGCCGCGGUAAUACGUAGGGUGCGAGCGUUAAUCGGAAUUACUGGGCGUAAAGCGAGUGCAGACGGUUACUUAAGCCAGAUGUGAAAUCCCCAAGCUUAACUUGGGACGUGCAUUUGAAACUGGGUGACUAGAGUGCGUCAGAGGGAGGUAGAAUUCCACAUGUAGCGGUGGAAUGCGUAGAGAUGUGGAGGAAUACCGAUGGCGAAGGCAGCCUCCUGGGAUAACACUGACGUUGAGGCUCGAAAGCGUGGGGAGCAAACAGGAUUAGAUACCCCCGUAGUCCCUGUCUCUUAUAC
This 301-nucleotide ribosomal RNA is filed under the name uncultured bacterium. RNAcentral describes it as "partial 16S ribosomal RNA". It matches the Rfam family "Bacterial small subunit ribosomal RNA", at positions 509 to 807 of the family's 1533-position model. The record is from RNAcentral.